CCUCACCAAGCAAGGCUCUAACUCACCCAGUGAGCGCAGCACACAGAAGAACUCCUGGCUUUCCAAAGUAGUGCACUCAGCAUAGUCGCUCUGGGGCCAGGAGUGGUAUCUUCCGGAGGAGGGUUUGCCUUGUUCCCUGGGGCACACCAUCUUCUCUCAGGCUUAGAGGCUGCUGAGCCGUUCAGGCUAGGGAAUGUGAAACAAGGGGACUGAUGCUUGAGACUCCAGUCACAGCAACCUCGACCAGGUUUCAAUUAUGUUUAGAACUGAAAGCAGCUCAAAAUCUUUUCCUUGGUCUGAAUACACAGUGAUUCCUCCCUGCCCACAGACCAGUGAGCUGACCUCUAACUGAAGACAAGCUCUGAUUCUGCAUCACUCAUAACCUAGUGGGAAAUACUUUGCUCCUGCUGCUACUUGUCUGUUCUUGCCCUUGUAUCUUCUGCUCAGUUUUCACAGCCUUUAAGCAUUUAUCUUUUCACGCCUUUGCCUGCUCUGGAUUUCCCUCAAGGCUGAUUUUGCUACGUUCAGGUCCUUAUGCCGUUUUCUUUUUUUGCUGCACACAGACCUCCACCACCCACCUCACACCCAGGCAAUCCACAAGCUGAAGGAAACUGAGGCAUCAAGCCUUCUCCCCUCCAGAACAAGCAGUGAUUCGCCAACUCAAGAGAGCCCAGCUGGUAGGUGGCCAAGCCACCACAGCCACGAGGGACCCAAACAGCCAUCCAGGACAUUGCUCAGCACAGCUGGGACAUGAGCAACAUGGAGACACUGCCAAAAAUGGGGCGAUGCGGAGGAGCAGCAGGAAAGCUCUCUCACAGUGGAGCUCAGCUAACACUGUGAUCAGUAAGGACAGACAGAAGCUCUGAACGUUUUACACUGCGAAGAUCACCUGACUAACAUCUGGACAGGUAAUUGCCUCCCUACAUAAAAUCACCCAAAAAACAGGUCUGGGGUUGCAAAGUUUUCAAGUGAGGUUUUAAAAUUGUUGAAUAGCAUGAAAUGUAUGUUAUCUCCCAGGCAACCUUGUUCAAGCUCCCUUUUUAUUUUCAAGGCAUGCUAGAGGAUGGAAAUUAUCCUCAGGUUCCCAGGUAGUGCAAUUUAUAGACUGAGGCUGCUGAAAGUGCAAGUAGAAACUACUCAGACUCUCUUAGACUGCAUGUGCUUUCAGACUCCCCUUUCACAUCAGGUGUCACC
Molecule: long non-coding RNA, 1194 nt
Filed under: Gallus gallus (chicken)
Lineage: Eukaryota; Metazoa; Chordata; Aves; Galliformes; Phasianidae
Description: long non-coding RNA NONGGAT002930
Source: RNAcentral